GCGGCGCCUGUGGGCACGCUGAGGUGGUGGGCAUUUUGUGGUGGCGAAGGCUGGGGACAGCGGAGCUUCCCUGACGUGUGGUAGCAGCUCCUCUGACUGCUCUCCGAUGGGUUGAGGCUUACACUUACCUGUCUUCUGAAGACAAAUCGUAGCUAGCAGAGGGAAGCUGGAAUAUGAGACUGGACUUUACCAGAAUGGCUGCAAUCCACAGUUGUAUCCCAGCUGAAAUGUGUUCCUGUGCUACUGGGUCUGCAAAUGCUGCAUGAGGACCUGAAGCAUGAAGAUAACUUCAAGUUGUGUGUACUUACUGAUGAUGAAUUGGAGGAAAAGAUGAAGGAAACUAUUUUCCUCCAUAAAUUAGCUUUUAGCAUAAAUCCUAAUGUCUGCU
Molecule: long non-coding RNA, 388 nt
Organism: Cygnus atratus (black swan)
Lineage: Eukaryota; Metazoa; Chordata; Aves; Anseriformes; Anatidae
Exons: 3
Source: RefSeq, a predicted model, not a curated record